AGGACGAACGCUGGCGGCGUGCUUAACACAUGCAAGUCGAGCGGUAAGGCUCCUUCGGGAGUACACGAGCGGCGAACGGGUGAGUAACACGUGAGCAAUCUGCCCUUCACACUGGGAUAACCCCGGGAAACCGGGGCUAAUACCGGAUGCGACCACCGACGGCAUCGUCUGGUGGUGGAAAGUUCCGGCGGUGGAGGAUGAGCUCGCGGCCUAUCAGCUUGUUGGUGGGGUAAUGGCCUACCAAGGCUUCGACGGGUAGCCGGCCUGAGAGGGUGACCGGCCACGACUGGGACUGAGACACGGCCCAGACUCCUACGGGAGGCAGCAGUGGGGAAUAUUGGACAAUGGGCGAAAGCCUGAUCCAGCAACGCCGCGUGAGGGAUGACGGCCUUCGGGUUGUAAACCUCUUCAGUAGGACGAAGCGAAAGUGACGGUACCUACAGAAGAAGGACCGGCCAACUACGUGCCAGCAGCCGC
This 477-nucleotide ribosomal RNA is filed under the name uncultured bacterium. RNAcentral describes it as "SSU rRNA". It matches the Rfam family "Bacterial small subunit ribosomal RNA", at positions 26 to 518 of the family's 1533-position model. The record is from RNAcentral.